This 301-nucleotide ribosomal RNA is filed under the name uncultured bacterium. RNAcentral describes it as "partial 16S ribosomal RNA". It matches the Rfam family "Bacterial small subunit ribosomal RNA", at positions 509 to 807 of the family's 1533-position model. The record is from RNAcentral.
CAGUAGCCGCGGUAAUACAGAGGGUGCGAGCGUUAAUCGGAAUUACUGGGCGUAAAGCGUGCGUAGGUGGUGGUUUAAGUCCGUUGUGAAAGCCCUGGGCUCAACCUGGGAAUCGCAGUGGAUACUGGGUCACUAGAGUGUGGUAGAGGAUAGUGGAAUUUCCGGUGUAGCAGUGAAAUGCGUAGAGAUCGGAAGGAACAUCUGUGGCGAAGGCGACUAUCUGGGCCAACACUGACACUGAGGCACGAAAGCGUGGGGAGCAAACAGGAUUAGAUACCCCAGUAGUCCCUGUCUCUUAUAC